RNAcentral lists this ribosomal RNA (639 nucleotides) under uncultured bacterium. RNAcentral's name for it is "bacterial SSU rRNA". It matches the Rfam family "Bacterial small subunit ribosomal RNA", at positions 232 to 885 of the family's 1533-position model. The record is from RNAcentral.
CGCGGCCUAUCAGCUUGUUGGUGAGGUAAAGGCUCACCAAGGCAUUGACGGGUAGCUGGUCUGAGAGGACGAUCAGCCACACUGGGACUGAGACACGGCCCAGACUCCUGCGGGAGGCAGCAGUGGGGAAUCUUGCGCAAUGGGCGAAAGCCUGACGCAGCAACGCCGCGUGGGGGAUGAAGGCUCUCGGGUUGUAAACCCCUUUCAGCAGGGACGAAAUUGACGGUACCUGUAGAAGAAGCCCCGGCCACCUACGUGCCAGCAGCCGCGGCAACACGUAGGGGGCGAGCGUUGUCCGGAAUUAUUGGGCGUAAAGGGCUCGUAGGCGGUUCGGUAAGUCAGAUGUGAAAGGUUGGGGCUCAACCCUAAGACUGCAUUUGAUACUGCCGUGACUAGAGUCCGGUAGAGGAGUGUGGAAUUCCUGGUGUAGCGGUGAAAUGCGCAGAUAUCAGGAGGAACACCGACGGCGAAGGCAGCACUCUGGGCCGGUACUGACGCUGAGGAGCGAAAGCGUGGGUAGCAAACAGGAUUAGAUACCCUGGUAGUCCACGCCGUAAACGUUGGGCACUAGGUGUGGGACCUUAUCAACAGGUUCCGUGCCGUAGCUAACGCAUUAAGUGCCCCGCCUGGGGAGUACGG